AAGGAAGUCGAAGGAGAAAGAGAAGAAGAGACAGCAAGAAGGAGGGAGACGAAAAAGGAGGAAAAAAAUGAAUGAGAGAAAGGAGAGAAAGAAAAAUAAAAGUAUUUUGGUUAGUUUUACUAAUCUGUAAAAUUAAAAAAUGUAGCCUAUUUCUGUAAAAGUGUAAAAUUGAUGGGUUUUUUUAAUGCAAAUUUGCCGAAGUUAAUCAAAGUGAUAGAUGCAUUACUAAACUUAUAACGGAAAAUACAGAAAAAUGGUGCAGUUCAAUUUCAUGUUAACAAAAAAUUGAGUAUUCAGAGAAGGGUAAAUUACAGAAAACUUUCCUGCCAAUAUUUGAUUUUUCACUUUCCCUUCCUGUCAUUUAAAAACAUACACUUUGCCCCCUUGUAAAAUAAAAAAUGUUCACUUCACCUCCUGCCGUUAGUGAUCCAUUAGGGUUCCGUUUAUAAAAUAUUAUUAUAUUUUUUUAUGCUAAAAAUGCUCUCAGUCUUCUCUCCUAUUGUCAAAAAUGGUGAGAGGCAAAAUGGUCAUUUUGUCAUCACAGUUUACACCGUACCCUCCUAUGACAAUUUUUUAUUUUACAAUAAGGUAAAGUGUAGAUUUUUAAAUGACAGAGAGAAAAAGUGAAAAAUCAGAUUUUGACAUGAGAAUUUCAUGUAAUUUAGCUUUUAGGGAAAAAAACAUUUCUAGUUU
RNAcentral lists this long non-coding RNA (693 nucleotides) under Ananas comosus (pineapple). RNAcentral describes it as "long non-coding RNA (ACOM_LNC013200)". Lineage: Eukaryota; Viridiplantae; Streptophyta; Magnoliopsida; Poales; Bromeliaceae. The record is from RNAcentral.